CAGUAGCCGCGGGAAUACGGAGGGAGCUAGCGUUGUUCGGAAUUACUGGGCGUAAAGCGCGCGUAGGCGGUUACUCAAGUCAGAGGUGAAAGCCCGGGGCUCAACCCCGGAACUGCCUUUGAAACUAGGUGACUAGAAUCUUGGAGAGGUCAGUGGAAUUCCGAGUGUAGAGGUGAAAUUCGUAGAUAUUCGGAAGAACACCAGUGGCGAAGGCGACUGACUGGACAAGUAUUGACGCUGAGGUGCGAAAGCGUGGGGAGCAAACAGGAUUAGAUACCCCCGUAGUCCCUGUCUCUUAUAC
RNAcentral lists this ribosomal RNA (301 nucleotides) under uncultured bacterium. Its description in RNAcentral is "partial 16S ribosomal RNA". It matches the Rfam family "Bacterial small subunit ribosomal RNA", at positions 509 to 807 of the family's 1533-position model. The record is from RNAcentral.